CCCAGGCACCCUCCCUGUGGGCUCUUUCCACAGACACAGUUGGCACCUCCUGCAGGCGAGCAGAGACCAAGGCGCUCUCCACGCCCUCAAAGAGCCAGAGGAGGGGCAGGCGGUGCGGCUCACCAGGCGAAGAGCGGCUUGCUGUCCUCCUUGGAGAGCUCGCACAGGCAGUUCAGCAGCAGGAGCGAGUCGCCCAGGAACUUGGGCGGCACGAUGUCGAUGACCAGCUUUCGCAGCGCGGCUGGACUGCUGUGCAGCGGGUUGGCGCGCAGGUCCGGCCGCUGCUUCAGGAUGCCGUAGGUGUUAAUGAGGAACUCGCUGAAGACCGGGUGCACCUCGCGGCUGUAGCCCAGCUUCUCCAGCCGGGCGGUCAGCGUCAGGUAGCGAUGCGUCAGCUCCCUCAGCUUCUUCUCAUCCACCGAGCCGUCCAGGGACUUGAUGGAGGUCUGCAGACACAGGAUGGUGGGGGCCACACCCCUGGUCAGGGCCACCUCCUGGCCCAGCAGUGUGGGACGGGGUAGGGCCGCCCGGGAAGCUUAAUGUAGGAACCCAGGUCCCCACCCCUCCAGCACCUCCAAAAGACGAGCCACCAGGGCCCUGCUUGGACCAAGCACAGCCUGGUGCCCACAGCAUCGGCCAGCCCCAGGAUGUGCCAGGGUGCUGAGCACCCGCUGGGUCAACCCCAGGAUGCGCCUGUGUGACCCCACCCCCAGGUUAGCCCCAGGAAGCAACCAGGUGCUCCACCCGGGUCAGCCCCAGGACGCCCGGGUGCCCAGCCCCUGAGGCAGUCAGGACAUACCUGCUUUAUCUUCUCGGGGAUGUUGGACACAGUGAAGCCAUAGAGCCGCGUCACACCAGGGAACACAUAGGCCAGGAUGCGCCGGUCCAGCUGGAAGGCAAUCUCUCCCACGAUGCGGCCAUCCUUCUCUGCACCCGCAAAGCUCUGGAUCUCUGCAUGAGGAGGGGGCGGGUGUGGCCAGGUCAUAGCUGUCCCAAGGGAUGUCCCUCACCCUGCCUGCAGGGCAAGGGCAAACAGAGACCUAGGGCAGAGGGAGCCUUCCCUCCCACCUGCCCUCCGAAGUCCCUUGGUGGCCAGGCGCUGUGGCCCACUCCUCUGCCAGAGGCAUGUGAAUCGCCUCAGAAGCUGAGUGAGCCCAGCCUGCUACUGUGAGGGCAGUUCCCGGGGUCUGCAUGCCCGGCACAGUGCUGUCCCUGGUGGACCUGGAUGCCGCCCUGCAUCCAGUAGGCACUUGGGUGAUUGCUGGGCGUGUGCCCUGGCCUGAGGACAGUGGGGAGCAAGUGGCCCCACAGCUGAGGGAAGGGUGAGACUCUGGAGUACGGGCCAGUCCACGUCUGCUCGAUAACAAGCCGGCUCUUUCCAACCACGGUGCAGGAGACUACUGGGCAGGCAGGAGACCCUGUCCAUCAUUCCCUGACACCACUUGGAAAACUUCCCCACAAAAAAGCUGCUCUCAAAUGCUCCUCUGGCAGCCACCGACGCCCCUGGCGGCACUGGCUAUCUGUCCAAUGCAGGCCAAGACCCUUCAGGACAGAGGGCUUUUUGAGAAUGAGUGGCACCUGAGCUUGACGUCACCGUGAGAGCCCUGCCUGAGAGUGUCUGAGACACUCCCUCCAUUUGGAGACCCCCUCUCUGCACCGUCCCUGAGGUGCAAGGAGCGAGCUUGCGCAGAGCCGCUCCCUUGCUGUGCCACUGGGACUCCCCCUGGCGCCACGCGCUGGCACACCCACAUGCACAGCCUCCUGAAGCCCCUGAACCCUCCAGACAGUUUGUGGUAGGAACCCUCCACAGAGCUGCCGGCUGGGCGGGGCCUGCUGAUCUGGGCAGAGAGCAGGUACAGGUCCUGUGCCCACCUGACACAGCUCAGCACACAGUGCCCCAGGCCUGACCUGCCCUGUCUGGCCUCGGGGUGUUGGGGGCACUCCAAACCAGCCAUGGAGAUCCAGGACCUCCUCGCCACCACGGGAGUGUGAGGGGCCAAGACCAGGACCAUCUCUUGCAGGACCUGGGCCUGCUGCUCACCCCUGGACAGACGUAGGCCCACCAGGGGCCAAGGCCUGUGCCAGGGCCAGAUUCACAAUGACGGACAGCUGUGUCAGGCAGGUGAGCCUGGAUAGCUGGGCCGCGAACUUGGCUGCUGUCAAGGGGCAUGGGACCACACAGGAGGAAGCUUCCACAGGGGGAGGUGGGACCCCCACCCUGGGCCCGUAGCAGAGGUGACCAGGCACACAAGAGGCCAGGCCAGUGCUGUCCAGGGACACUGUGUCAACUUCUUUGACCCUUGCAGGACCAGUCCCUCCCAAGGCAAGCAUCUACACCAUGUGGCCCAAAGUGUGCUCUGUGGAACACUGGGCCUGCCCGGGAGGUGCAGAAAGGUUGUGUGCGGCCAGGGUCAGCAUGACCUGCCCUGCUCCCCUGCAUAAGCUGCUAGAAUGUGACACAGACUUUGCCUCCCCAGCCAGACACAGCAGGGCCCACCCCUGGGCCUCCUCUAUGACCGGGGCUCCUCUGGCCGAGGAGGAAGAGGCCUCUGGGUGGGCAGCUGUGACAGGGCAGGAGCCAGGCUGGGGCCGGAAGAUACAGGCUGCAUCUGCGCCCUCCCUUGGCAGCACUUUCCGGCCUUUAUAAUGUGAUUUGCCCACAUGAAGGUCCUUUAGGGCGAUCCUGAGACAGCUGCAGGAACUGAGUCCAGGGCACCUGCUACAACAUUUUCAUCUCCUAAGAACAAAUCCUGUGCCUGAUAACAACUACUCCCGCAGCCCUGGCGACCAAUGCUUGGCUUUGCCUCCCUGUGGGUCCCCCUGUUCUGCACGUUCCACAUGACUUGUGGCCUUUCGACCUGGCUUCACACGCUCAGCAUGGUAUUCCGAGGUCCAUCCUCUGUUGUAGUGCAUGCCAGUGCUUCACUCCUGUUUAUGGCUGAGUAGUAUUCCAUCAUGGAGCUAGACCAUACAGUUUAUCUGCACCCUGGCCAGCGCGUGGGCGUCUGGGCUCUUCCCACUCUGGCUAAUCUGAGCAUGGCUGCAUGAGCAUUCAAGUAAAGGCUCUCAGGUGGAUGUCCGCCUUCCACUCCUGUGGGUGCACACCAAGGAACGGGGUCGUGCCAUGUGGGAACACUGGGUUCAGCCUUGUGAGGACUGCGAGCUGUUUUCUCAGGGGCUUCCCCCUGGCAUUCCCACCAGAGUGUAUGUCCCAAUUCCAUUUCCCCGCCCAGGCCACUGCAGUGAAAGGCAGCUCACACAGGUCUCCCUGUAUUGCGCUGAUGGCCACAGACCCUGUGCACCUCUUCACCUGCCUGCUGGUCAUCUGCACAUCUUCUUUGGAGGGUUGUCCACCCACGCCCUUGGCUAUUUUGACUAGAUUACUUGUAAGAGCCCUUCCAAGAAUGUGAUUUUUUUUAAAUUUUUUUAGUAGUAGAUGGACACAAUACCUUUAUUUUACUUAUUUAUUUUCAAGUGGUGCUGAGGAUGGAACUCAGGGCCUCACACAUGCUAGGCGAGUGCUCUACCACUGAGCUACGACCCCAGCCCCCAAGAAUGUGAUUUGCAGAUACUUUCUCCCACUCUCUAGGGUGAUGCUUCAUUGUUUUGAAACUCUUCUUUGGAGCACAAAAGUGUUUACUCUGGGCGAAGUUGAUGGAGUCCAUCAGUCUCUCUGGUUGCCAAUGCUGUUGGUGUCAUGCCUAAGCAGGCCCUGCCAGGCCCACACUACACAGACCUUGCUCUGGGCUUCCUUUGAGGGCCACGGCUCAGGAUCCUGGAGCUCUCUUGGGCAUCUGAUGCGUUCUGAGUUGGGUUUUGUGCGAGGUGGGGUCCCACAGCUUCCUCUGCUGGCACACGUCACCCAGCACCACUUGUUGAAGAUGGUUCUUUCUCCAUUGGGUUGCCUGGCACCCUUGUGGGACACCAACCACGAAUGUCUGAGCUUAUUUCGGGGGCUCUAGAUCCUUUUCCCCUGGUCUCUGUCUGUCCUUAUGAUGGGACCACACAACUUGAUUGCUGUAGCCUGACAGGGGGUCUUAGAAUCAAAAAGGUGAGUCUCCCAAUUUUGUUCUCCUUUUUAAAAUUGCUUUGCCCAUUCUGGGUCCCUUGUAUUUCCAUGGGUUCAGCUUAUCAAAGGUUCAGCUUAUCAAGAUUUUGUAAAGAAGCCAGCUGGGACUUUGAUAAGGAUGGCAUUAAAUCUAUAAAUCCAUGCAAGUUACUAUGAAACAAUAUUAAGCCUUCUAAUUCAUGACCCAAGACUCACUGUCUACUUAGGUGUUUGAUCACUUUUAACACUGCCUGUGGUUUUGGUGGACUUCUUUACGGAAACUGCGGACAGAGACUGCGCAGCGGCACACAGAGCAGGCGGGCGCAAGAGGGAGGUGACUCCCCAUCCCAAGGAGCUGCGCUAGGGGGCCUCUGCUCCCCCCACCCCUCUGAAGCUUUAAUCGGCAGAUGAGACAGCUACAUCUGAGACGCUCUAGAACUCCUCUCUAUCCAAACUCGGCUCCCACCUGUUCUUCAAAGAAGAAGGUCAAUCCAACCAAUGCACCUCUAGUCCCACACCAAAGCCACCACGUCAGGAGUGAGAGAUCACAGCAGCCCAAGCACAUCUGCAGGGAGACGAGAAAUGUUAGCAAGAACUUCAGGCCAAAAGCCCUGACAGCCUAGAGAAAAUGGACCAGGUUCUUAGAAGACAAACUACAGGCUGGGCAUGAUGGCCACACUGUGACCCCCAGAAGUCUGGGAGGCUAGGCAGGAGGGUCACAAGUUCAAGGCCAGCCUGAGCAACUUAGCAGGGACCUAUCUCAAAAUGAAAAGGGCUGGGGACGGGGUUCAGUGGCAGAGCCCCUUGGCUCAAUCCUCUGGCUCGAAAAGACAAACCACUGAAGCUUACUCAAGAAGAACUAGACAAUUGGAAUAGCCAUAGAUCAGUAAAAUGGGACUUCUCAGGGGGAAAAUUCUUAGAGAAAAUUCAAGGCUCAAGUGGUUUGAUUGGUGAAUUCUACGAGAUAUUUAAGGAGUAAGUACUACAAAUUUGACACAAACUCUACCAAGACAAUUAAAGAGGAGGAACGUUUCCAUCUGGGUUGAGGCCAGCCAUCUGAUACCAACUCAGAAAAUGGCAUUAACAGAAGACUGCAGCCCAACAUUCCUCACGAGCACAGAUUCUUAACAGAAUCUGGGCAAACUGGAUCUCAUAAUACAAAAAGAUGGAACACACUGUGAGCAAAUAGGAUCUACCUCAAGAAUGCAUGGUCAGUUCACAUCUGAACACAGGACCUGUGUGGCGCGCAUGGUGUACGACCAGGAGAAGGGGAGGUUAGACUCCAAGAGUGAGGAUAUGUCGAAGUAUACUCUGCCAUCAUGGAUGACCACAAAGAACAGAUAAAAAAUCAAGAAGAAGAAAGGAAUAAUGGUUGGCUUAGCACUCAGCAAGCAGUGUGGUUUACCAUAUGCUGAGGUGUGGGUGGUAGGCUGGUCUCGGGGCGGUGGGAGGUGCUGUGAGAGUAAGAGUGAGCCUAGUGGUCAUCCCUCAGCUCUCUGGGACCUGCCCUCCAGUGCAGAUGGGACUGUCUCUGGCCAGCUGCUUCCUGGCUCCUGGGGCCACUUGCUCUGAGAAGGGCUCCUGCCAUGGCAUGCUGCCUCACCACAGGCUCACACCAGUGGUACCCCUGACCCUGGACUUAAACCUCCAGAACCAUGAGCCAAAAUAAACUCUCUUUACUUCAUAAAUACCCUGUGUGCCAGGUGUUUCAUUAUAGUGAUGUGAAACUGACUGAUACACCAUGAUCACCAACCGCAAAGGACAACCAAGUGCUCAUCUCAAUAGAGGCAGGAAAGCAACUGACAAAGUCCAACAUACAUUCCUGACAAAUAAGCAAACUAGAACUCAGAGGGAACUUCUUCAGUACAAUGAAGGGCAGCUACAGACACUCAGCUAGCACCAGGCUCACUGGUGAGAGGCUGAAAGCCCCACAUCAGGGAAGGAUGUCACCACUGUGUUGGCCACUGUCCAGCCCUGGUCUAGAGGAAGAGAUGACAGGCACUGGGCUGGGGGCGUGCCUCAGGGGUCCAGGGCCUGCUGGGCCUGGGCAAAGCCUGGGUUCCGUCCCCAGCACCGAAAGGAAAAGGAAAAAAGAAAAAGGCACAUACAUUAGGAAUUUUUAAAAAGUUUGAAAAUCUGUCUUCAUUCACAACCCAAUCAUCUGCGUAGCUUUAAAAUGCCACGGAGGAGGCUCCCGGGGAAGAUGGCAGAAUGGAUGUGCCCUCUGCAUAGCUCUGCAAGGGGCAGAAACACGCUCAGGAGAAAAAGAGGAGCUCCAGGGGGUGGGAGAGCGCAGACACCAGGGACCCACCCAAAACCACUAGAACAAACUAAUGUUGUGCAGGAUGUAAAGAUUAAGCCAGAAAGAUCACAGACACGUCACUCAGAACCACAAGUUUCCCCAGAGAAACAGACCAACAGGGCGUGCCCAUGAAGAGGGAUCUAGCUCACGGGACUGGCUCUCACAUCCGAGGAGACGGUGAGCCCCAGAUCAGCAAGCUGGAAACCCAGGAGACCUGAGGUGUGCGUGUGGCUCCUGCCCAAAGGCCAGCAGGCUGGACACCCAGGAAGAGUGACGUGCAGGGUCAGGACAGAGGCAGCCAGGACUCGGGAGAGCCACAACACGUGAGGAAGAGGACAAAGUCGGAGAGCCUGCAUGUCCUGCAGGAUUCGCAGUCUUUAAAACGACAGGACUCCGAUCCAGGAGGACACAGACAGGUGGACGGAGACGCAUGGAGGGUGCGGGAACAGCCUCACAGGUGCACAGACACAGAUUUUCGGCAAGGAACCAGGCGGUUCAGCCACAGGGCACUGCCCCUGAGCACUGGGGCUGGAGGAGUAGACGUUUAUAUGUAAACCCACACCCAUGCAGAAAUGACUCGGACUGAUCAGGGGCCCGAGUGUAAAACCUACAGCUGGAAGAUGGAGGAAAGAACCUGUUACCCUGGGUUUGGCAAAGACUUUCCAAAAUUAUAAACUACAAAAUGUACAAACUAUGGGGCUAGGAUUGUGGCUCGGCGGUUCAACGCUUCCUCACACGUGUGAGGCCCUGAUCCUCAGCACCACAUAAAAACAAUGAAUAAUGUAGUUCUGCCACCUGUACACCAGGACAGAGGCAGCCAGGUAGGAGUUCUCCCUGACUCUGGGGAAGGUCUGAUCAGGCCUUCAACUCACUGGGUGAGGGACGGAAGGUCAAGCAGGAACUCGACACCCUCAAAGUGUACAGCACCCUGGGGAGCCCUGGGGAGCACUGGCACCGCAGCCCCUGCUCUGGCCUCUGCUGGCACUCCCCUGGUGACAGGUGGCACCUGCCUCAGCAGGUGAAUGAGAAAUUAUAUCCCAUCUGAUUCAAAUGUAUGAUAUGUCAAGAUCAUUGUACUGUCAUGUGUAACUAAUUAAAACAAAGAAAAAAAUAGAAAA
This is a long non-coding RNA of Marmota monax (woodchuck), 7468 nucleotides long. RefSeq lists it as uncharacterized. The record is from RefSeq and is a predicted model, not a curated record. The transcript is spliced from 3 exons. Lineage: Eukaryota; Metazoa; Chordata; Mammalia; Rodentia; Sciuridae.